This 71-nucleotide transfer RNA is filed under the name Coregonus sp. CSP35. RNAcentral describes it as "tRNA-Gln". It matches the Rfam family "tRNA". From Rfam's summary of the family: Transfer RNA (tRNA) molecules are approximately 80 nucleotides in length. Their secondary structure includes four short double-helical elements and three loops (D, anti-codon, and T loops). Further hydrogen bonds mediate the characteristic L-shaped molecular structure. tRNAs have two regions of fundamental functional importance: the anti-codon, which is responsible for specific mRNA codon recognition, and the 3' end, to which the tRNAs corresponding amino acid is attached (by aminoacyl-tRNA synthetases). tRNAs cope with the degeneracy of the genetic code in two manners: having more than one tRNA (with a specific anti-codon) for a particular amino acid; and 'wobble' base-pairing, i.e. permitting non-standard base-pairing at the 3rd anti-codon position. The record is from RNAcentral. Lineage: Eukaryota; Metazoa; Chordata; Actinopteri; Salmoniformes; Salmonidae.
UAGAAAGUGGUGUAGUGGAAGCACCAUGAGUUUUGAUCUCUUGAGGAUGGGUUCGAGCCCCUUCUCUCUAG